AUGGUCCUGCCGCGCCGGCGCGGCGGCCACAACCACCACCCGUGCCCGUGCCCGUGCCCGCGCCGCGCCGUUCUGCCGGCAGCGGCGCUACUGCUGCUCUUCCUCCUCGCCGCCGUCACGCUGCUCUACGUCUCUCCGCCGCCUCUGUCCGACCACCCGGCCCUCGCCUACUCCCGCCGCCGCUCCCCGCAUGCUCUGCUGAACAGCUCUGGUGGCGGCAGCCUAGUGGAGCCCGGGCGCCGCGAGAUUUCCCGGGUUCCAAAAGGUGGUUGGAUUGCGACAGAUGGCCUCUGGGGUUCGAAGCUCGCUAGCAAAUUCUAUGGGUGCAGCAACUCAAGCAGCAAGUUUCUUGAUUCAGGUGUUAUGACACAUCCAGACCAAUAUUUGAUGAUUGUUACAAGUGGAGGCCUCAAUCAACAGAGAACAGGGAUAAUUGAUGCUGUUGUUGCUGCACGUAUUUUAAAUGCAACACUCGUUGUUCCCAAAUUGGACCAAACCUCCUUCUGGAAAGAUGCAAGUGACUUUGCUGAAAUUUUUAACGCCGACUGGUUCAUCUCAUUUCUAUCAAAGGAUGUAAGGAUUGUGAAAGAGCUUCCAAAGAUAGGAGGUAAACUGUGGGCUCCUCAUAGAAUGCGUGUGCCCCGCAAAUGCACUCAGCGAUGUUACUUGAACCGUGUGUUGCCUGCACUUAUUAAGAAACAUGUUGUUCGACUAACAAAAUUUGAUUAUAGGCUAGCAAACAGGUUGGAUUCUGAUCUGCAAAAGCUGAGAUGCAGAGUUAACUACCAUGCAUUGAGAUUUACUGACCCAAUACAAGAAAUGGGUGAAAAGAUAGUACAGAGAAUGCGGGAGAGGAGCACAUAUUUUAUUGCUCUUCAUUUAAGAUUUGAACCAGAUAUGCUUGCCUUUUCUGGGUGCUACUACGGUGGUGGAGAAAAGGAGAGGAGAGAACUUGGUGUGAUACGGAAGAGAUGGAAAACCUUGCAUGCUAGCAAUCCAGAGAAAGAAAGAAGGCACGGUAGAUGCCCACUAACUCCUGAAGAGGUGGGGUUGAUGUUGAGGGCACUGGGCUACAGAAAGAAUGUUCAUAUUUAUGUUGCCUCUGGAGAUAUAUAUGGUGGGGCAAAGACAUUAGCACCCCUGAAAGCGCUCUUCCCCAAUCUUCAUACCAAAGAAACAGUAACAAGCAAAGACGAGCUGGCUCCGUUCUCAAAGUACUCAUCUCGCAUGGCCGCACUUGAUUUCAUUGUCUGUGAUGGAAGUGAUGCUUUUGUUACUAACAACAAUGGUAAUAUGGCCAAAAUUUUGGCUGGGCGAAGGAGAUAUCUUGGGCAUAAGAGAAUGAUCCGACCAAAUGCGAGAAGGCUCUACUCCUUAUUCUUGAGCAGAGGAAACAUGUCCUGGGAUGCAUUCUCCUCCAAAGUGCACAUGGCCCAGAAAGGAUUUAUGGGGGAGCCCAAAGAGCUGAGGCCAGGAAGGGGGGAGUUCCACGAGAACCCCUCGACAUGUAUAUGUGAAAACACCGAUCCCAAGACACCGACCAAACCUAACCCUCGAAGUGAGCAAGGAUUGAGUAAUGGCACCGAGGGUAUUAAAGCCAUUACAGAGCCCACAGUUGCUAAUCAUACCAACGAGGAGUUGGGAGGAUCCAGUGCGGAAGAAGAUGACACUAGCGAGGAGAAAGAAGACGACACUAGUGCGGAGAAAGAAGAUGGCGCUAGUGAAGAGAAAGAGGAGAUAGUUGACCCGGAAGUGGAGGAUGAUGCGUUGGUGAGACCAGAUGAUCCUGAGCUGGAGGAGGUUCUUUCAGAUUAG
This 1815-nucleotide ribosomal RNA is filed under the name Triticum aestivum (bread wheat). RNAcentral's name for it is "partial small subunit ribosomal RNA". The record is from RNAcentral. Lineage: Eukaryota; Viridiplantae; Streptophyta; Magnoliopsida; Poales; Poaceae.